RNAcentral lists this ribosomal RNA (1219 nucleotides) under uncultured organism. Its description in RNAcentral is "bacterial SSU rRNA". It matches the Rfam family "Bacterial small subunit ribosomal RNA", at positions 55 to 1246 of the family's 1533-position model. The record is from RNAcentral.
AUGCAAGUCGAACGCGAACGGCUCCUUCGGGAGCCUAGUAGAGUGGCAAACGGGUGAGUAACGCGUGGGUAACGUACCCUGAUCCUGGGAAUAACCCUCGGAAACGAGGGCUAAUACCGAAUGUGGCGAACGACCGGUUGGUCGCUCGCUAAAGGUGGCCUCUUCUAUGCUGCCGGGUUGGGAUCGGCCCGCGUCCCAUUAGCUAGUUGGUGAGGUAACGGCUCACCAAGGCCACGAUGGGUAGCCGGCCUGAGAGGGUGUACGGCCACACUGGCACUGAGACAAGGGCCAGUCCCCUAUGGGAGGCGCAGGCGGGAAUAGUUCACAAUGGGCGAAAGCCUGAUGACGCGACGCCGCGUGAGCGAAGAAGACCUUCGGGUUGUAAAGCUCUGUCAGGAGGGAAGAAGGCUCUACGGGUUAAUAGCCCGUGGAAUUGACGGUACCUCCAGAGGAAGCCCCGGCUAAAUACGUGCCAGCAGCCGCGGUAAUACGUAUGGGGCAAGCGUUGUCCGGAUUUACUGGGCGUAAAGGGCGCGUAGGCGGUUUGUUAAGUCGAAGGUGAAAUCCUCGGGCUCAACUCGAGAAUUGCCUUCGAUACUGGCAAACUAGAGUGGCGGAGAGGAAAGCGGAACUCUUGGUGUAACGGUGGAAUGUGUAGAUAUCAAGAGGAACACCGGUGGCGAAGGCGGCUUUCUGGACGCACACUGACGCUCAGGCGCGAAAGCGUGGGUAGCAAACCAGGAUUAGAUACCCUGGUAGUCCACGCCAUAAACGAUGGGUACUAGGUGUCAGGGGGUAUCGACCCCCUCCGGUGCCGCAGUUUACGCACUAAGUUACCCCGCUUGGGGAUUAUGGUCGCAAGGCUGUGACUCUAAGGAAUUGACGGGGCACCGCACAAUCGCUGGAGCAUAUGGUGUAAUUCGAGCGCAACGCGAAGAACACUUACCUGGGCUUGACAUGCUUGGGACAGCGCUGGUAACAGCGUCUCUCAUUCGGGAGCCCUUGCACAGGUGCUGCAUGGCUGUCGUCAGAUCGUGUCGUGAGAUAUUGGGUUAAGUCCCGCAACGAGCGCAAACCCUCGUUACUAGUUGCCAUCAGUUCGGCUGGGCACUCUAGUGAGACUGCCGGUGAUAAACCGGAGGAAGGUGAGGAUGAUGUCAAGUCAUCAUGGCCCUUACGCCCAGGGCUACACACGUGCUACAAUGGUCGGCACAAAGGG